Molecule: ribosomal RNA, 465 nt
Filed under: uncultured bacterium
Lineage: Bacteria
Description: partial 16S ribosomal RNA
Rfam family: Bacterial small subunit ribosomal RNA
Source: RNAcentral
GAUGAACGCUGGCGGCGUGCUUAACACAUGCAAGUCGAACGGAAAGGCCCAAGCUUGCUUGGGUCCUCGAGUGGCGAACGGGUGAGUAACACGUGGGUGAUCUGCCCUGCACUUUGGGAUAAGCCUGGGAAACUGGGUCUAAUACCGGAUAGGACCACAUUUUGGAUGGUGUGGUGGAAAGUUUUUCGGUGUGGGAUGAGCUCGCGGCCUAUCAGCUUGUUGGUGGGGUAAUGGCCUACCAAGGCGUCGACGGGUAGCCGGCCUGGGAGGGUGUACGGCCACAUUGGGACUGAGAUACGGCCCAGACUCCUACGGGAGGCAGCAGUGGGGAAUAUUGCACAAUGGGCGCAAGCCGGAUGCAGCGACGCCGCGUGGGGGAUGACGGCCUUCGGGUUGUAAACUCCUUUCGCUAGGGACGAAGCGCAAGUGACGGUACCUGGAGAAGAAGCACCGGCUAACUACGUG